This is a long non-coding RNA of Molossus molossus (Pallas's mastiff bat), 471 nucleotides long. RefSeq lists it as uncharacterized. The record is from RefSeq and is a predicted model, not a curated record. The transcript is spliced from 3 exons. Lineage: Eukaryota; Metazoa; Chordata; Mammalia; Chiroptera; Molossidae.
GGAAAUUUUGGAGGAGAUGGAAUUUGUGAGGGCGUUAUAGACUUUAAGGGAAAAACUGGAUAGAAUAUAUCCAAAGACAACUCCACUGUAAGAUCUAGACUUUAUUAUUUCUGUGAUUGAAACUCACCGCUCUCUAAAUAUUAUAAAUGGCUUCCAUCUGUUUCAUUAUAAAAUACAUGCAAAAUAAUGUCCUCGGGUGAGGAUAUAGAAAACAAAAUCUCAAUAAGAUGCAACUGUAUACUCAUUGGAGUGGUUAGAAUUAAAGAGUCUGGUGAUAGCAACGGUUGGUGAAGACAUGGAGCAACGUGAGCACUCCAAACUACUGGUGGGAGUGUAAGUUGGUUGAGCUGGUUUUGAACAUUGUUGGGUGUUAGUUUGUCAAGUUGAAGGAGAACAUUUUCCAUGACUCAACCAUUCCAUGCCAAAAUAUAUACCAUCCAGAAUGUUCUUACUGGCAUUCAUAAAAGUUCU